Molecule: ribosomal RNA, 630 nt
Filed under: uncultured bacterium
Lineage: Bacteria
Description: bacterial SSU rRNA
Rfam family: Bacterial small subunit ribosomal RNA (bases 1-533)
Source: RNAcentral
CCUACGGGAGGCAGCAGUGAGGAAUAUUGGUCAAUGGGCGCAAGCCUGAACCAGCCAUGCCGCGUGCAGGAUGAAGCAUCUAUGGUGUGUAAACUGCUUUUGUACGGGAAGAAACCCUGCCACGUGUGGCAGAUUGACGGUACCGUAAGAAUAAGGAUCGGCUAACUCCGUGCCAGCAGCCGCGGUAAUACGGAGGAUCCAAGCGUUAUCCGGAAUCAUUGGGUUUAAAGGGUCCGUAGGCGGUUUUAUAAGUCAGUGGUGAAAUCCGGCAGCUCAACUGUCGAACUGCCAUUGAUACUGUAGGACUUGAAUUAUUGUGAAGUAACUAGAAUAUGUAGUGUAGCGGUGAAAUGCUUAGAUAUUACAUGGAAUACCCAUUGCGAAGGCAGGUUACUAACAAUAUAUUGACGCUGAUGGACGAAAGCGUGGGGAGCGAACAGGAUUAGAUACCCUGGUAGUCCACGCCGUAAACGAUGGAUACUAGCUGUUUGGUUGUAAAGCUGAGUGNGUAGAGAAGAGAUAAGUAUACCACCGUCGGGAGGUACGGGCGGCGACGACCGUACGAACGUACGAAAGGAAAGUUAGUACGGACGUGAGACGUUAGCCGACGGACGACGACGAGGGAGGAGG